CGCUGGCGGCGUGCUUAACACAUGCAAGUCGAACGGGGAUAGGUUGGAAAGGCUUCGGCCCGGAAGACUAAUCGAGUGGCGGACGGGUGAGUAACGCGUGAGCAACCUGUCCCAGACAGGGGAUAACACUUGGAAACAGGUGCUAAUACCGCAUAAGACCACGGGGUCACAUGGCUCUGGGGUAAAAGGAGCAAUCCGGUUUGGGGUGGGCUCGCGUCCGAUUAGAUAGUUGGUGAGGUAACGGCCCACCAAGUCGACGAUCGGUAGCCGACCUGGGAGGGUGAUCGGCCACAUUGGAACUGAGAGACGGUCCAAACUCCUACGGGAGGCAGCAGUGGGGAAUAUUGGGCAAUGGGCGAAAGCCCUGACCCAGCAACGCCGCGUGAGUGAAGAAGGCCUUCGGGUUGUAAAGCUCUGUUAUAGGGGACGAAGGAAGUGACGGUACCCUAUAAGGAAGCCCCGGCUAACUACGUGCCAGCAGCUGC
This 485-nucleotide ribosomal RNA is filed under the name uncultured bacterium. RNAcentral describes it as "bacterial SSU rRNA". It matches the Rfam family "Bacterial small subunit ribosomal RNA", at positions 34 to 518 of the family's 1533-position model. The record is from RNAcentral.